This 946-nucleotide long non-coding RNA is filed under the name Olea europaea (common olive). RNAcentral's name for it is "long non-coding RNA (OEUR_LNC011351)". The record is from RNAcentral. Lineage: Eukaryota; Viridiplantae; Streptophyta; Magnoliopsida; Lamiales; Oleaceae.
UCGUCCUUCUACCAUUAUUCGCUUUUGCCUUUAGCCUAAUUCGUAUUUUCUCGUCAUCAAUAGUGGAGAAGAAAAUUCUAGAAGUUGCAACAAUUAUUUUGGGUAUGUUCUUCUUAUAAUUUUUCUUUUUUGUGUAUUUCUUUUUUUAUUUUCUUACUAUUUAUUUAAGGUAUGUAGUUUUCCUUUGUUUGUAGAUGAAAAUCUAGCUGGGUUCGUCUUCCUUUAACUCCAUAUAAGGUAUGUUCUCAUUUCUGUACAUGCAUGAAAAUAUAUCUACGUUUUACAUAUUCAUGGUUCAUGAGGUUGAAGGUCAUGAAUUUUCGCCGUUUCGAAGCUGGUGAGGAAUCAACUAUCAUCAUUCAUAGCCAACUUCAACAAUUUCAAAUCACUAUUUCACUCCAUUUUUCAUUCACUGUAGAAGAAAAUGAAAUUGCACUGGACGCAAAAAAAAAAUGUUAAUAGAGGGUGAAAAUUAUAUAGAUGUGUACAUACACAUUUACAUACAUACAUGUUUACGUGUGUGAGGAGAGGGGAUUACUUUUCUUCGUAUAGAAUAUAUUUUAUUUAAUUAGUAUAUAAUAAUAAAAUAGUAUCUGCCUUUACUAUAAGAGAGGAGAUUGUCCAAGUUAUUGUUUAUGUUUGGCACAAUUUCACACGUAACCAGUUUCUUCCUUUAGUAUGUAGACUAGAGAUAUUUUUUUCUUAUUCUUAUCUAAUAUGAAAAUUAUUUAAGUUGAAAACGCCUAACUUUGUAUGAACUUUAAAAAUUCUUUAAAAUAUAUGUGUUGGGGACAUGUAGAUUUAUAUUAACUUUAAAGAUGAAUAAAAUUUGAAUUGAAGGCGCCGUGUAGUAUUUAGUGCCAUGCCUUGAUUUUUUAUAAAUUGAUAGAUGACCGUGGUAGAUAGAAGUCUUGUCUAAGUUAAAUAGUUAUAAUGGAAGUGUAUU